GUAUUAUCUUCGCCGUUCAAUUUCUCUUGCUGACCAUCAGCUUCUCGUCUCUCCCUAGAGCGCUUGACGUGUGCAUGUGGGAGAAGAAACAUGGCUGGUUCUUCUUGAAGGGGAUUUCUUCUGCCAAUGGUCAAGAUUGUGACAUUGUUGCUUGAGAAUGGAGCUGAUGUGAAUUCCAGGAAUUAGUGUGGGCAGGUAUGUGAUUUGGGUCUUGUUUUGAUGGUUGAUCAGUGCCAUUUCUUAAGCUAAUGCAUGGUGAUAGUUCUUUUGGUGGGAGACCAGCUCUAAUUCUUAUUUAAGAUUCUUGAAA
Ipomoea triloba (trilobed morning glory) is the source of this 310-nucleotide long non-coding RNA. RefSeq lists it as uncharacterized. The record is from RefSeq and is a predicted model, not a curated record. Lineage: Eukaryota; Viridiplantae; Streptophyta; Magnoliopsida; Solanales; Convolvulaceae. The transcript is spliced from 2 exons.